GGAGUACGGCCGCAAGGUUAAAACUCAAAUGAAUUGACGGGGGCCCGCACAAGCGGUGGAGCAUGUGGUUUAAUUCGAUGCAACGCGAAGAACCUUACCUGGUCUUGACAUCCACAGAACUUAGCAGAGAUGCUUUGGUGCCUUCGGGAACUGUGAGACAGGUGCUGCAUGGCUGUCGUCAGCUCGUGUUGUGAAAUGUUGGGUUAAGUCCCGCAACGAGCGCAACCCUUAUCCUUUGUUGCCAGCGGUUAGGCCGGGAACUCAAAGGAGACUGCCAGUGAUAAACUGGAGGAAGGUGGGGAUGACGUCAAGUCAUCAUGGCCCUUACGACCAGGGCUACACACGUGCUACAAUGGCGCAUACAAAGAGAAGCGACCUCGCGAGAGCAAGCGGACCUCAUAAAGUGCGUCGUAGUCCGGAUUGGAGUCUGCAACUCGACUCCAUGAAGUCGGAAUC
Molecule: ribosomal RNA, 456 nt
Filed under: Enterobacter cloacae
Lineage: Bacteria; Pseudomonadati; Pseudomonadota; Gammaproteobacteria; Enterobacterales; Enterobacteriaceae
Description: bacterial SSU rRNA
Rfam family: Bacterial small subunit ribosomal RNA
Source: RNAcentral